Molecule: ribosomal RNA, 484 nt
Filed under: uncultured bacterium
Lineage: Bacteria
Description: partial 16S ribosomal RNA
Rfam family: Bacterial small subunit ribosomal RNA
Source: RNAcentral
AUUGAACGCUGGCGGCAUGCUUUACACAUGCAAGUCGAACGGCAGCGCGGGCUUCGGCCUGGCGGCGAGUGGCGAACGGGUGAGUAAUACAUCGGAACGUGCCCAGUAGUGGGGGAUAGCUCGGCGAAAGCCGGAUUAAUACCGCAUACGACCUGAGGGUGAAAGCGGGGGAUCUUCGGACCUCGCGCUAUUGGAGCGGCCGAUGGCAGAUUAGCUAGUUGGUGUGGUAAAGGCCUACCAAGGCGACGAUCUGUAGCUGGUCUGAGAGGACGACCAGCCACACUGGGACUGAGACACGGCCCAGACUCCUACGGGAGGCAGCAGUGGGGAAUUUUGGACAAUGGGCGAAAGCCUGAUCCAGCAAUGCCGCGUAUGUGAUGAAGGCCUUCGGGUUGUAAAGCACUUUUGGCGGGAACGAAAAGGACUGUGCCAAUACCACGGUUCGAUGACGGUACCCGCAGAAUAAGCACCGGCUAACUACGUG